UACAUGCAAGUCGAACGCGUCUCCGUUAAUGAUUUUAGGUGCUUGCACUUGAAAGAUUUAACAUUGAGACGAGUGGCGAACUGGUGAGUAACACGUGGGUAACCUGCCCUUGAAGUAGGGGAUAACACUUGGAAACAGGUGCUAAUACCGUAUAACAACCAAAACCACCUGGUUUUGGUUUAAAAGACGGCUUCGGCUGUCACUUUAGGAUGGACCCGCGGCGUAUUAGCUUGUUGGUAAGGUAACGGCUUACCAAGGCGAUGAUACGUAGCCGACCUGAGAGGGUAAUCGGCCACAUUGGGACUGAGACACGGCCCAAACUCCUACGGGAGGCAGCAGUAGGGAAUCUUCCACAAUGGACGAAAGUCUGAUGGAGCAACGCCGCGUGAGUGAUGAAGGGUUUCGGCUCGUAAAACUCUGUUGUUGGAGAAGAACAGGUGUCAGAGUAACUGUUGACAUCUUGACGGUAUCCAACCAGAAAGCCACGGCUAACUACGUGCCAGCAGCCGCGGUAAUACGUAGGUGGCAAGCGUUGUCCGGAUUUAUUGGGCGUAAAGCGAGCGCAGGCGGUUUUUUAGGUCUGAUGUGAAAGCCUUCGGCUUAACCGGAGAAGUGCAUCGGAAACCGGGAGACUUGAGUGCAGAAGAGGACAGUGGAACUCCAUGUGUAGCGGUGAAAUGCGUAGAUAUAUGGAAGAACACCAGUGGCGAAGGCGGCUGUCUGGUCUGUAACUGACGCUGAGGCU
Molecule: ribosomal RNA, 745 nt
Filed under: Lentilactobacillus buchneri
Lineage: Bacteria; Bacillati; Bacillota; Bacilli; Lactobacillales; Lactobacillaceae
Description: bacterial SSU rRNA
Rfam family: Bacterial small subunit ribosomal RNA
Source: RNAcentral